AAAAUUAAACGCUUUUAGAUAAAAUGGGAUUAGGUUUCAGUCGGCAGGGUGAAGAAGAUGAGCCUGAUGAGCCUGUAGUGGUCAAUGAUCAUAACAUUCAGAUAGACGAAGAUAUAGAUUCAUUGGAGGAGUUCAAGAAGCAGGAGAGAGAGGAAGAAGAGGAAUCAAUUCAAGACAUUUCUUUUGAGGACGUCGACAAUAUUAACACAGAGGAGGAACCUAGUCCAGUGAGCUACCGAACCCUGGUAUAUAUGGUUGUGUGGGCCUGCAUGAUGUUCUGGAUGUUAACUCUGGGCUUCGUCAUGAUCACUGACAAUACGGCAACCAUUGGCGUUGAUCUCAACACUUCAAACAGGAGAUCUCAUACCUUGGAGAACUUAAAUAAGUUUAUAGGUUUGAUUGGCUCCUUCAUAAUUGCUCCGCUACCGAUGUUGUUUCCUCCUUUGUUUCGAAGACUACGGAUGAGAUUCUACGUGAGGAUGAUAUUUGGCGCUGUGGUUAUCCUCUUUUACCUGUUCACCUUCCUAACAGUUGUAUCCUGGAUACUCCUGGUUCAAGGUGAGAAUAUGAGAAGGUUGGCAACUACUAUAAUCCUAGAGUUAUGUGGCUCAGCCUGCGUUAUCAUCGGUUACUGUUCCAUCUUAAGAGAUGAAUGGUUCCGGCACCAGAACUCGAGAUACAGGUUCGAGAAUACAGAUGGAGGGUUCGAGUUCGAGCUUCUAGUUUUCAUUGGAACUGUCAUCAUCUUUAGUCUGGAGAGUGGACUUGUAGGAACUAAACAUAGACAUGAAGCAGAUCUAGAUCUGCAGGGGAAGGUUUCAACCCAUUUUCAAAACAUUCUUCCUUAUUAUCUUCAAUGCUGGCUUUUUCUAAUCUUUCUACAACACUACUCCAGGUUCCAUGUUGGUUGGUUUACGUAUAGACGGUGUAGACUGGAAGUUGAGAGAGAACUCAACCUUGCUAUGCUCAGUCCUAUACAACAGAAUAUCCUACGGAAACAGCCUCUUACCAAACGAAUUAUUGAAGGGAUGCUCUCAGUUCCAUUGUUUAGAAGAAGAUUGUGAUCAUCUUAAUCUGAAAACUCUUCUAUAAUCCUAAUCCAUUUCAUGAGUGGAUAAAUUCAUUAAGAGAUCAUAUACCUUCUUGGUUUAAACAUUUCUGUGCUUAUGUUUUGCUCCGAUAGGUUGUUAUGCUAAUGCUAGUUUAUAUUCUCUUUUUUAUGAAGUUGAGCCAAGCAAUUCAGCGACCUUGCUCAAAUUCAUUAAAUUCGAUCCUAGAAUAUUUUCUAAAUUUGAUCAAAGAUUUAUUGUAAACAUGAAUUAAAAAUUAUUCGUUGAUAACUACGAAACUUGUCCGUUGAUUUUAGAAACCUCAAAAUUUCAGCAUGAAUUAAUUUUAUGAAUUUCAGAUAAUAUUUGUUGACUACUAGCUUUUAUGUAAUUAAU
This 1445-nucleotide unclassified non-coding RNA is filed under the name Eurytemora carolleeae. Its description in RNAcentral is "uncharacterized LOC111701836". The record is from RNAcentral. Lineage: Eukaryota; Metazoa; Arthropoda; Copepoda; Calanoida; Temoridae.